RNAcentral lists this ribosomal RNA (303 nucleotides) under uncultured bacterium. RNAcentral describes it as "partial 16S ribosomal RNA". It matches the Rfam family "Bacterial small subunit ribosomal RNA", at positions 507 to 807 of the family's 1533-position model. The record is from RNAcentral.
AGCAGUAGCCACGGGAUCACGUAGGUGGCAAGCGUUGUCCGGAAUUAUUGGGCGUAAAGGGCUCGCAGGCGGUUUCUUAAGUCUGAUGUGAAAGCCCCCGGCUCAACCGGGGAGGGUCAUUGGAAACUGGGAAACUUGAGUGCAGAAGAGGAGAGUGGAAUUCCACGUAUAGCGGUGAAAUGCGUAGAGAUGUGGAGGAACACCAGUGGCGAAGGCGACUCUCUGGUCUGUAACUGACGCUGAGGAGCGAAAGCGUGGGGAGCGAACAGGAUUAGAUACCCCCGUAGUCCCUGUCUCUUAUAC